ACAAUUUUGUUCACCAUCCCUUACAACAACAUCCCACAUGAACUUCCGAAAUCAAAAUCAGCAUAGAGUUUCAUUUAUGUCAAAUUACAUAAACAUCAACAAUUAUGGAGAAGGGGGGAAAACCAUUUAGCAGCAAAAAUAAGGUGUCAUCCUCAACCUCCUAUAGAAACCAGCUUUUAAUCUUUAUCAUCCGAAGUCCAAACACCUUAUACAGAUUUAUAUCACUAGAGAGAGAGAGAGAGAGAGAGAGAG
This 252-nucleotide unclassified non-coding RNA is filed under the name Hevea brasiliensis (rubber tree). Lineage: Eukaryota; Viridiplantae; Streptophyta; Magnoliopsida; Malpighiales; Euphorbiaceae. The record is from RNAcentral.